Molecule: ribosomal RNA, 253 nt
Filed under: uncultured bacterium
Lineage: Bacteria
Description: partial 16S ribosomal RNA
Rfam family: Bacterial small subunit ribosomal RNA
Source: RNAcentral
UACGGAGGGAGCUAGCGUUGUUCGGAAUUACUGGGCGUAAAGCGCGCGUAGGCGGCUUUGUAAGUUAGAGGUGAAAGCCCGGGGCUCAACCCCGGAACUGCCUUUAAAACUGCAUCGCUUGAAUCCAGGAGAGGUGAGUGGAAUUCCGAGUGUAGAGGUGAAAUUCGUAGAUAUUCGGAAGAACACCGGUGGCGAAGGCGGCGACCUGGUCCGUGACUGACGCUGAGGCGCGAAAGCGUGGGGAGCAAACAGG